AAUGGAACCUGCAGGAAUCAACCGUGUAGGCAGAUGGAAAUCUGUCGUCUGUCUACAGAUCGCAGUGUCCUACAGAAACACGGAGGUCUCUGUCUGACUUAGACUAGCUGCUAAGUCGGAUCGUUCCCCUCCACACAAG
This is a non-coding RNA of Sorex fumeus (smoky shrew), 139 nucleotides long. RefSeq annotates it as small Cajal body-specific RNA 3. The transcript has a single exon. The record is from RefSeq and is a predicted model, not a curated record. NCBI's taxonomy places the organism in Eukaryota, Metazoa, Chordata, Mammalia, Eulipotyphla, Soricidae.